ACCUCUGUAGCACAACGGAUAAGUGCGUCUGGCUGUUAACCAGAAGGUUAGUGGUUUGAGCCCAUCCAGGGACA
Podarcis lilfordi (Lilford's wall lizard) is the source of this 74-nucleotide non-coding RNA. NCBI's taxonomy places the organism in Eukaryota, Metazoa, Chordata, Lepidosauria, Squamata, Lacertidae. The record is from the annotation of a GenBank genome assembly.